This 2908-nucleotide ribosomal RNA is filed under the name Salmonella enterica. RNAcentral describes it as "23S ribosomal RNA". It matches the Rfam family "Bacterial large subunit ribosomal RNA". Lineage: Bacteria; Pseudomonadati; Pseudomonadota; Gammaproteobacteria; Enterobacterales; Enterobacteriaceae. The record is from RNAcentral. RNAcentral also lists the same sequence under 1 other name.
GGUUAAGCGACUAAGCGUACACGGUGGAUGCCCUGGCAGUCAGAGGCGAUGAAGGACGUGCUAAUCUGCGAUAAGCGCCGGUAAGGUGAUAUGAACCGUUAUAACCGGCGAUUUCCGAAUGGGGAAACCCAGUGUGAUUCGUCACACUAUCAUUAACUGAAUCCAUAGGUUAAUGAGGCGAACCGGGGGAACUGAAACAUCUAAGUACCCCGAGGAAAAGAAAUCAACCGAGAUUCCCCCAGUAGCGGCGAGCGAACGGGGAGGAGCCCAGAGCCUGAAUCAGCAUGUGUGUUAGUGGAAGCGUCUGGAAAGGUGCGCGAUACAGGGUGACAGCCCCGUACACAAAAGCGCAUGUGCUGUGAGCUCGAUGAGUAGGGCGGGACACGUGGUAUCCUGUCUGAAUAUGGGGGGACCAUCCUCCAAGGCUAAAUACUCCUGACUGACCGAUAGUGAACCAGUACCGUGAGGGAAAGGCGAAAAGAACCCCGGCGAGGGGAGUGAAAAAGAACCUGAAACCGUGUACGUACAAGCAGUGGGAGCACAGGUUUACCUGUGUGACUGCGUACCUUUUGUAUAAUGGGUCAGCGACUUAUAUUCUGUAGCAAGGUUAACCGAAUAGGGGAGCCGGAGGGAAACCGAGUCUUAAUUGGGCGUUAAGUUGCAGGGUAUAGACCCGAAACCCGGUGAUCUAGCCAUGGGCAGGUUGAAGGUUGGGUAACACUAACUGGAGGACCGAACCGACUAAUGUUGAAAAAUUAGCGGAUGACCUGUGGCUGGGGGUGAAAGGCCAAUCAAACCGGGAGAUAGCUGGUUCUCCCCGAAAGCUAUUUAGGUAGCGCCUCGUGAAUUCAUCUCCGGGGGUAGAGCACUGUUUCGGCUAGGGGGCCAUCCCGGCUUACCAACCCGAUGCAAACUGCGAAUACCGGAGAAUGUUAUCACGGGAGACACACGGCGGGUGCUAACGUCCGUCGUGAAGAGGGAAACAACCCAGACCGCCAGCUAAGGUCCCAAAGUCAUGGUUAAGUGGGAAACGAUGUGGGAAGGCCCAGACAGCCAGGAUGUUGGCUUAGAAGCAGCCAUCAUUUAAAGAAAGCGUAAUAGCUCACUGGUCGAGUCGGCCUGCGCGGAAGAUGUAACGGGGCUAAACCAUGCACCGAAGCUGCGGCAGCGACGCUGAUGCGUUGUUGGGUAGGGGAGCGUUCUGUAAGCCUGCGAAGGUGACCUGUGAGGGUUGCUGGAGGUAUCAGAAGUGCGAAUGCUGACAUAAGUAACGAUAAAGCGGGUGAAAAGCCCGCUCGCCGGAAGACCAAGGGUUCCUGUCCAACGUUAAUCGGGGCAGGGUGAGUCGACCCCUAAGGCGAGGCCGAAAGGCGUAGUCGAUGGGAAACGGGUUAAUAUUCCCGUACUUGGUGUUACUGCGAAGGGGGGACGGAGAAGGCUAUGUUGGCCGGGCGACGGUUGUCCCGGUUUAAGCGUGUAGGUGUGUGUUCCAGGUAAAUCCGGUUCACUUUAACACUGAGGCGUGACGACGAGGCACUACGGUGCUGAAGCAACAAAUGCCCUGCUUCCAGGAAAAGCCUCUAAGCAUCAGGUAACAUCAAAUCGUACCCCAAACCGACACAGGUGGUCAGGUAGAGAAUACCAAGGCGCUUGAGAGAACUCGGGUGAAGGAACUAGGCAAAAUGGUGCCGUAACUUCGGGAGAAGGCACGCUGACACGUAGGUGAAGUGAUUUACUCAUGGAGCUGAAGUCAGUCGAAGAUACCAGCUGGCUGCAACUGUUUAUUAAAAACACAGCACUGUGCAAACACGAAAGUGGACGUAUACGGUGUGACGCCUGCCCGGUGCCGGAAGGUUAAUUGAUGGGGUCAGCGCAAGCGAAGCUCCUGAUCGAAGCCCCGGUAAACGGCGGCCGUAACUAUAACGGUCCUAAGGUAGCGAAAUUCCUUGUCGGGUAAGUUCCGACCUGCACGAAUGGCGUAAUGAUGGCCAGGCUGUCUCCACCCGAGACUCAGUGAAAUUGAACUCGCUGUGAAGAUGCAGUGUACCCGCGGCAAGACGGAAAGACCCCGUGAACCUUUACUAUAGCUUGACACUGAACAUUGAGCCUUGAUGUGUAGGAUAGGUGGGAGGCUUUGAAGUGUGGACGCCAGUCUGCAUGGAGCCGACCUUGAAAUACCACCCUUUAAUGUUUGAUGUUCUAACGUGGACCCGUAAUCCGGGUUGCGGACAGUGUCUGGUGGGUAGUUUGACUGGGGCGGUCUCCUCCUAAAGAGUAACGGAGGAGCACGAAGGUUGGCUAAUCCUGGUCGGACAUCAGGAGGUUAGUGCAAUGGCAUAAGCCAGCUUGACUGCGAGCGUGACGGCGCGAGCAGGUGCGAAAGCAGGUCAUAGUGAUCCGGUGGUUCUGAAUGGAAGGGCCAUCGCUCAACGGAUAAAAGGUACUCCGGGGAUAACAGGCUGAUACCGCCCAAGAGUUCAUAUCGACGGCGGUGUUUGGCACCUCGAUGUCGGCUCAUCACAUCCUGGGGCUGAAGUAGGUCCCAAGGGUAUGGCUGUUCGCCAUUUAAAGUGGUACGCGAGCUGGGUUUAGAACGUCGUGAGACAGUUCGGUCCCUAUCUGCCGUGGGCGCUGGAGAACUGAGGGGGGCUGCUCCUAGUACGAGAGGACCGGAGUGGACGCAUCACUGGUGUUCGGGUUGUCAUGCCAAUGGCACUGCCCGGUAGCUAAAUGCGGAAGAGAUAAGUGCUGAAAGCAUCUAAGCACGAAACUUGCCCCGAGAUGAGUUCUCCCUGAGACUUAGAGUCUCCUGAAGGAACGUUGAAGACGACGACGUUGAUAGGCCGGGUGUGUAAGCGCAGCGAUGCGUUGAGCUAACCGGUACUAAUGAACCGUGAGGCUUAACCUU